This 871-nucleotide ribosomal RNA is filed under the name Pantoea sp. Its description in RNAcentral is "bacterial SSU rRNA". It matches the Rfam family "Bacterial small subunit ribosomal RNA", at positions 51 to 927 of the family's 1533-position model. The record is from RNAcentral. Lineage: Bacteria; Pseudomonadati; Pseudomonadota; Gammaproteobacteria; Enterobacterales; Erwiniaceae.
ACACAUGCAGUCGGACGGUAGCACAGAGAGCUUGCUCUUGGGUGACGAGUGGCGGACGGGUGAGUAAUGUCUGGGGAUCUGCCCGAUAGAGGGGGAUAACCACUGGAAACGGUGGCUAAUACCGCAUAACGUCGCAAGACCAAAGAGGGGGACCUUCGGGCCUCUCACUAUCGGAUGAACCCAGAUGGGAUUAGCUAGUAGGCGGGGUAAUGGCCCACCUAGGCGACGAUCCCUAGCUGGUCUGAGAGGAUGACCAGCCACACUGGAACUGAGACACGGUCCAGACUCCUACGGGAGGCAGCAGUGGGGAAUAUUGCACAAUGGGCGCAAGCCUGAUGCAGCCAUGCCGCGUGUAUGAAGAAGGCCUUCGGGUUGUAAAGUACUUUCAGCGGGGAGGAAGGCGGUGAGGUUAAUAACCUCGCCGAUUGACGUUACCCGCAGAAGAAGCACCGGCUAACUCCGUGCCAGCAGCCGCGGUAAUACGGAGGGUGCAAGCGUUAAUCGGAAUUACUGGGCGUAAAGCGCACGCAGGCGGUCUGUUAAGUCAGAUGUGAAAUCCCCGGGCUUAACCUGGGAACUGCAUUUGAAACUGGCAGGCUUGAGUCUCGUAGAGGGGGGUAGAAUUCCAGGUGUAGCGGUGAAAUGCGUAGAGAUCUGGAGGAUACCGGUGGCGAAGGCGGCCUCCUUGGACGAAGACUGACGCUCAGGUGCUGAAGCGUGGGGGAGCAAACAGAUAGAUACCCUGGUAGUCCACGCCGUAACGAUGUCGACUUGGAAGGUUGUCUCCUUGAGAGUUGCUUUCCGAGCUACGCGUAGUCGACCGCCUGGGGAGUACGGUCUGCAGUAACUCUAAUGAUGACGGGUCUGCUCA